This 496-nucleotide ribosomal RNA is filed under the name uncultured bacterium. Its description in RNAcentral is "partial 16S ribosomal RNA". It matches the Rfam family "Bacterial small subunit ribosomal RNA", at positions 29 to 507 of the family's 1533-position model. The record is from RNAcentral.
AUGAACGCUGGCGGCGUGCCUAAUACAUGCAAGUCGAGCGAACAGAUGAGGAGCUUGCUCCUCUGACGUUAGCGGCGGACGGGUGAGUAACACGUGGAUAACCUACCUAUAAGACUGGGUUAACUUCGGGAAACCGGAGCUAAUACCGGAUAAUAUAUUGAACCGCAUGGUUCAAUAGUGAAAGACGGUUUUGCUGUCACUUAUAGAUGGAUCCGCGCCGCAUUAGCUAGUUGGUAAGGUAACGGCUUACCAAGGCAACGAUGCGUAGCCGACCUGAGAGGGUGAUCGGCCACACUGGAACUGAGACACGGUCCAGACUCCUACGGGAGGCAGCAGUAGGGAAUCUUCCGCAAUGGGCGAAAGCUUGACGGAGCAACGCCGCGUGAGUGAUGAAGGUCUUCGGAUCGUAAAACUCUGUUAUUAGGGAAGAACAAAUGUGUAAGUAACUAUGCACGUCUUGACGGUACCUAAUCAGAAAGCCACGGCUAACUACGUG